RNAcentral lists this ribosomal RNA (465 nucleotides) under Vreelandella stevensii. RNAcentral describes it as "partial 16S ribosomal RNA". It matches the Rfam family "Bacterial small subunit ribosomal RNA", at positions 338 to 795 of the family's 1533-position model. The record is from RNAcentral. Lineage: Bacteria; Pseudomonadati; Pseudomonadota; Gammaproteobacteria; Oceanospirillales; Halomonadaceae.
CCUACGGGGGGCAGCAGUGGGGAAUAUUGGACAAUGGGGGGAACCCUGAUCCAGCCAUGCCGCGUGUGUGAAGAAGGCCCUCGGGUUGUAAAGCACUUUCAGUGAGGAAGAACGCCUGGUGGUUAAUACCCAUCAGGAAAGACAUCACUCACAGAAGAAGCACCGGCUAACUCCGUGCCAGCAGCCGCGGUAAUACGGAGGGUGCGAGCGUUAAUCGGAAUUACUGGGCGUAAAGCGCGCGUAGGUGGCUUGAUAAGCCGGUUGUGAAAGCCCCGGGCUCAACCUGGGAACGGCAUCCGGAACUGUCAAGCUAGAGUGCAGGAGAGGAAGGUAGAAUUCCCGGUGUAGCGGUGAAAUGCGUAGAGAUCGGGAGGAAUACCAGUGGCGAAGGCGGCCUUCUGGACUGACACAGACACUGAGGUGCGAAAGCGUGGGUAGCAAACAGGAUUAGAUACCCCAGUAGUC